GAUGAACGCUGGCGGCGUGCCUAAUACAUGCAAGUCGAGCGAACAGACGAGGAGCUUGCUCCUCUGACGUUAGCGGCGGACGGGUGAGUAACACGUGGAUAACCUACCUAUAAGACUGGGAUAACUUCGGGAAACCGGAGCUAAUACCGGAUAAUAUAUUGAACCGCAUGGUUCAAUAGUGAAAGACGGUUUUGCUGUCACUUAUAGAUGGAUCCGCGCCGCAUUAGCUAGUUGGUAAGGUAACGGCUUACCAAGGCAACGAUGCGUAGCCGACCUGAGAGGGUGAUCGGCCACACUGGAACUGAGACACGGUCCAGACUCCUACGGGAGGCAGCAGUAGGGAAUCUUCCGCAAUGGGCGAAAGCCUGACGGAGCAACGCCGCGUGAGUGAUGAAGGCCUUCGGAUCGUAAAACUCUGUUAUUAGGGAAGAACAUAUGUGUAAGUAACUGUGCACAUCUUGACGGUACCUAAUCAGAAAGCCACGGCUAACUACGUG
RNAcentral lists this ribosomal RNA (497 nucleotides) under uncultured bacterium. RNAcentral's name for it is "partial 16S ribosomal RNA". It matches the Rfam family "Bacterial small subunit ribosomal RNA", at positions 28 to 507 of the family's 1533-position model. The record is from RNAcentral.